Molecule: long non-coding RNA, 1082 nt
Filed under: Salmo salar (Atlantic salmon)
Lineage: Eukaryota; Metazoa; Chordata; Actinopteri; Salmoniformes; Salmonidae
Description: lncRNA (ENSSSAG00000113877.1)
Source: RNAcentral
GUUUCACACGGCAACAUCUUGAUAUGUUUACGUAUUACGGCGUAAUUCCAUAUUUAUUUCGUUUUUGUUGUAUAUUUAGAGGGAAACAGUGUUAUUUCAACAGGCGUUGGUUAGUGUUUCUUUAUUGAUUCAAUUGUGUUCAUGUAUUUCAUAGAUAGUUAGGGGUGUUUGUUGGUUUCUUUGUUUGGAAAUGGAAUGAUUAUAGAUAUAAAUGUAAAGAGUAUAUUGGGGCGGCAGGUAGCCUAGUGGUUAGAGCAUUGGGCCAGUAACCAGCAGGUAGCCUAGUGGUUAGAGCGUUGGGCCAGUAACCAGCAGGUAGCCCAGUGGUUAGAGCGUUGGGCCAGUAACCAGCAGGUAGCCUAGUGGUUAGAGCAUUGGGCCAGUAACCAGCAGGUAGCCUAGUGGUUAGAGCAUUGGGCCAGUAACCAGCAGGUAGCCUAGUGGUUAGAGCGUUGGGACAGUAACCAGCAGGUAGCCUAGUGGUUAGAGCGUUGGACCAGUAACCAGCAGGUAGCCUAGUGGUUAGAGCAUUGGGGUAGUAACCAGCAGGUAGCCUAGUGGUUAGAGCGUUGGGCCAGUAACCAGCAGGUAGCCUAGUGGUUAGAGCAUUGGGCUAGUAACCAGCAGGUAGCCCAGUGGUUAGAGCGUUGGGCCAGUAACCAGCAGGAAGCCUAGUGGUUAGAGCGUUGGGCCAGUAACCAGCAGGUAGCCUAGUGGUUAGAGCGUUGGGCCAGUAAGCAGCAGGUAGCCUAGUGGUUAGAGCAUUGGGGCAGUAACCAGCAGGUAGCCUAGUGGUUAGAGCGUUGGGCCAGUAACCAGCAGGUAGCCUAGUGGUUAGAGCAUUGGGCUAGUAACCAGCAGGUAGCCCAGUGGUUAGAGCGUUGGGCCAGUAACCAGCAGGAAGCCUAGUGGUUAGAGCGUUGGGCCAGUAACCAGCAGGUAGCCUAGUGGUUAGAGCGUUGGGCCAGUAACCAGCAGGUAGCCUAGUGGUUAGAGCAUUGGGGCAGUAACCAGCAGGUAGCCUAGUGGUUAGAGCGUUGGACCCACUGGCUUCCAGUUGAAGCUCACAUCUGCUACAAGAC